This 428-nucleotide ribosomal RNA is filed under the name uncultured bacterium. RNAcentral's name for it is "partial 16S ribosomal RNA". It matches the Rfam family "Bacterial small subunit ribosomal RNA", at positions 354 to 796 of the family's 1533-position model. The record is from RNAcentral.
GUAGGGAAUCUUGCGCAAUGGACGAAAGUCUGACGCAGCGACGCCGCGUGAGUGAUGAAGGCCUUAGGGUCGUAAAGCUCUGUUGAAUGGGAAGAAAAAAAUGACGGUACCAUUCGAGGAAGGACCGGCUAACUUCGUGCCAGCAGCCGCGGUAAUACGAGGGGUCCUAGCGUUGUUCGGAAUCAUUGGGCGUAAAGGGUGUGUAGGUGGCCAUGUAAGUCAGGUGUGAAAGCCCCGGGCUCAACCCGGGAAGUGCACUUGAUACUGCGUGGCUUGAGUACCGAAGAGGGUAGUGGAAUUCCAGGUGUAGUGGUGAAAUACGUAGAUAUCUGGAGGAACACCGGUGGCGAAGGCGGCUACCUGGUCGAGUACUGACACUGAGACACGAAAGCAUGGGGAUCAAACAGGAUUAGAAACCCCUGUAGUCC